CAGGAUGAACGCUAGCGGCAGGCUUAACACAUGCAAGUCGAGGGGCAUCGGGAGUAGCAAUACUGCCGGCGACCGGCGCAAGGGUGCGUAACGCGUGAGCAACAUGCCCGUAUCAGGGGGGAUAAUCCAUGGAAACGUGGUCUAAUACCCCAUAGUAAUUAUGUAAGGCAUCUUAUAUAAUUUAAAGCUUUGGUGGAUACGGAUUGGCUCGCGUGACAUUAGCUAGAUGGUAAGGUAACGGCUUACCAUGGCUACGAUGUCUAGGGGUUCUGAGAGGAAGGUCCCCCACACUGGAACUGAGACACGGUCCAGACUCCUACGGGAGGCAGCAGUGAGGAAUAUUGGACAAUGGAUGGAAAUCUGAUCCAGCCAUGCCGCGUGCCAGGAAGACGGCCCUAUGGGUUGUAAACUGCUUUUGUAUGGGAGCAAUAAGGGCUACGCGUAGUCCGAUGAGAGUACCAUACGAAUAAGCACCGGCUAACUCCGUGCCAGCCGCGGC
This 499-nucleotide ribosomal RNA is filed under the name uncultured bacterium. RNAcentral's name for it is "bacterial SSU rRNA". It matches the Rfam family "Bacterial small subunit ribosomal RNA", at positions 25 to 518 of the family's 1533-position model. The record is from RNAcentral.